AAAUGCAAGCCGGGAAGUCCCCAGUGGUGCCUGCACCUAGGAGGCGACUGCAACGGAUGGAUGCGGGGGAAUGAAGAGUUGCAUGGGGCUCGCUCGUUUUCUCUGGAGUUAGUUGCGUCCUAUACAGGGUCGUGUCGAGGUCGUCCUAAACCGUGGCCACUUUCCUGAGUGCACAGCCCGCAGUAGCGCCACAAGACCACCUCCCCCCGGCCCCGGCCUCAUCCCCACCUCCAGGGAAGAGUCCAGAGCCACAGAAUUAGCUCCUAGAACGCAACCAACAAGAGUCCAGAUGAACCCGCUCUAUUGGGAAACUCACAGUUUUUCAUCUACUCUGGGCACCACAACGUAUUUGCAGGGGCCACAGCAAAAACUACCCUUGAUCAAGCUACGUGCCCCAGCCUGAAGCACAGCAAAUAAACAUCCUGCACAGAGGCAGUAAAAACAA
Molecule: long non-coding RNA, 445 nt
Organism: Homo sapiens (human)
Lineage: Eukaryota; Metazoa; Chordata; Mammalia; Primates; Hominidae
Gene: SORL1-AS1
Product: SORL1 antisense RNA 1
Source: Ensembl